UACGAGGGGGGCGAGCGUUGUUCGGAAUUAUUGGGCGUAAAGGGUGCGUAGGCGGUUCCGCAAGUCCUGUGUGAAAUCUUCGGGCUCAACUCGAAGUCUGCACGGGAAACUGCGGGGCUUGAGUGUGGGAGAGGUGAGUGGAAUUCCCGGUGUAGCGGUGAAAUGCGCAGAUAUCGGGAGGAACACCAAUGGCGAAGGCAGCUCGCUGGGACGUGACUGACGCUGAGACGCGAAAGCGUGGGGAGCAAACAGGG
RNAcentral lists this ribosomal RNA (254 nucleotides) under uncultured bacterium. RNAcentral describes it as "partial 16S ribosomal RNA". It matches the Rfam family "Bacterial small subunit ribosomal RNA", at positions 524 to 777 of the family's 1533-position model. The record is from RNAcentral.